ACAAGUGAAAAACUUCAAACCCCAAGGACUUGACGGUGUCCCACCCAUACUAGAGGAGCCUGUCCUAUAACCGAUACCCCACGUUCCACCUUACCCCUUCUUGCUUUUCCCAACCUAUAUACCGCCGUCGCCAGCAUACACUGUGAAUGCACCACCGUAAGCGAAACCAUUCACGCAUAAAAACGACAGGUCAAGGUGUAGUUAAUGAAGGGGCAGUGAUGGGCUACAUUUUCUACAGUAGAAAACCCCACCGCAACAUGAAACCCUGCCUAAA
This 274-nucleotide ribosomal RNA is filed under the name Pristurus gallagheri (Gallagher's rock gecko). RNAcentral's name for it is "partial 12S ribosomal RNA". Lineage: Eukaryota; Metazoa; Chordata; Lepidosauria; Squamata; Sphaerodactylidae. The record is from RNAcentral.